ACAGUGCAAACGCCAACACCUAUAACUACAAGCACAACAGAUGACUUGACUUCUCUCGAGUAUUGCUUGUUAUGAAGAAUCCAUUCCAUGACGCAAACCACAGGUAUCAUACUGAGUUUAGAAAUUUGAUAGAAUCCGACGGAGUUAAGCAUAAGGCUGAAGUUCAUGCCAGUGAUAGACAUAUUAGCAACAAUAGAGAACCAGAGAAGCUCCCACAUUGGAACAUGCUUUGAUACAGAUAAGCCAGUCGCAUUGGACACAAGUCCCACCAGAGCAGUUACCGCAAAAUGGAAACCCGUUAAGCUCGUGGCAAAGCUAAAAGCAUAACCGCUAGAGGACAUGAGUUGCUUAUUAGCCAUAAUAAUGCCGACGGAACUGAUAACGUUCAUGGCCCAUGCUCCAACAUCCGAUACCGCCGACUUCUUGUUUUCGGUCUCCAUCUCCGGAAAAGCUGAAAUUACAGAGGAUCUGUUUAUUUAAGCAGGGGCCCGGGGAGGGAUCUCUUUCCUUCAAUUCUCAGGAGAGAAAGAGAAGGAAAAAGGGAAACAGAACAGCCAAGAGAGACGCGCUUUGGUUGUAUGGUUGGCGGAUGGAUUGAUUUUG
Molecule: unclassified non-coding RNA, 603 nt
Filed under: Hevea brasiliensis (rubber tree)
Lineage: Eukaryota; Viridiplantae; Streptophyta; Magnoliopsida; Malpighiales; Euphorbiaceae
Source: RNAcentral